This 21-nucleotide microRNA is filed under the name Schistosoma japonicum. RNAcentral describes it as "sja-miR-3482-3p". Lineage: Eukaryota; Metazoa; Platyhelminthes; Trematoda; Strigeidida; Schistosomatidae. The record is from miRBase by way of RNAcentral.
AUGCGCACUGCCGAGGAUUUC